Molecule: ribosomal RNA, 377 nt
Filed under: uncultured bacterium
Lineage: Bacteria
Description: bacterial SSU rRNA
Rfam family: Bacterial small subunit ribosomal RNA
Source: RNAcentral
UAUUGGACAAUGGGCGCAAGCCUGAUCCAGCCAUGCCGCGUGGAUGAUGAAGGCCUUAGGGUUGUAAAGUCCUUUCGACGGGGAAGAUAAUGACGGUACCCGUAGAAGAAGCCCCGGCUAACUUCGUGCCAGCAGCCGCGGUAAUACGAAGGGGGCUAGCGUUGCUCGGAAUCACUGGGCGUAAAGCGCACGUAGGCGGACUCUUAAGUCGGUGGUGAAAUCCUGGAGCUCAACUCCAGAACUGCCUUCGAUACUGAGAGUCUCGAGUCCGGGAGAGGUGAGUGGAACUGCGAGUGUAGAGGUGAAAUUCGUAGAUAUUCGCAAGAACACCAGUGGCGAAGGCGGCUCACUGGCCCGGUACUGACGCUGAGUGCGAA